This 499-nucleotide ribosomal RNA is filed under the name uncultured bacterium. RNAcentral describes it as "partial 16S ribosomal RNA". It matches the Rfam family "Bacterial small subunit ribosomal RNA", at positions 28 to 507 of the family's 1533-position model. The record is from RNAcentral.
GACGAACGCUGGCGGCGUGCCUAAUACAUGCAAGUCGAGCGAAGUUUUUCUGGUGCUUGCACCGGAAAAACUUAGCGGCGAACGGGUGAGUAACACGUAAGGAACCUGCCUCAUAGACUGGGACAACUAUUGGAAACGAUAGCUAAUACCGGAUAACAGCAUUAACUGCAUGGUUGAUGUUUAAAAGUUGGUUUUGCUAACACUAUGAGAUGGCUUUGCGGUGCAUUAGCUAGUUGGUGGGGUAAAGGCCUACCAAGGCGACGAUGCAUAGCCGACCUGAGAGGGUGAUCGGCCACACUGGGACUGAGACACGGCCCAGACUCCUACGGGAGGCAGCAGUAGGGAAUCUUCCGCAAUGGGCGAAAGCCUGACGGAGCAACGCCGCGUGAGUGAAGAAGGAUUUCGGUUCGUAAAGCUCUGUUGUUAGGGAAGAAUGAUUGUGUAGUAACUAUACACAGUAGAGACGGUACCUAACCAGAAAGCCACGGCUAACUACGUG